RNAcentral lists this long non-coding RNA (10112 nucleotides) under Homo sapiens (human). RNAcentral's name for it is "HSALNT0290866". The record is from RNAcentral. Lineage: Eukaryota; Metazoa; Chordata; Mammalia; Primates; Hominidae.
CGGCCGGGCUACAGAUGCGCGCCAGCUGCGGCCCCGGGUGCAGGCGCGGCGACCGCCCCCGAGGAGCUGCCCUUUCCUUGCCAUCCAUGCGGCCAGGUCUCAGACAAACCGAUGGCUUUGUGUCAAACCAAGGCCGCCUUCCUCACCUCUGAUAAGAUGGACGCCUUCUGUCUUCGCGUUUUCAGGCACCCGGGGAAGACCCACAGAACAGGCUAGCUUGUUCCCAAUUUCCACCUGCUUCCUCCCCAUCCCGGACCGACAAAAAUUGUCGUCUGUUUGAUGGGAGGGAGAACUCCGACUCCCCCACCUGGGGCAUGCAGACACCCUCGCCCUUCCCCAGUUGGCAUGGACCGUCGUCUUUUCUCCCUCUUCCAUCAGAUCGAUGGACAAACAGGCCAGUUUCUCCCCAGUGGCCCCCACCUAAGAGCACCCUAAGUUGUCCACAGCAGGGCUAGGAAGCAGAAGGUCAGGACACUCCCCUACCCUACCUUGACUUAGAGCUGGGUAAACCCAGAACCCAUCCCCGGGCAAAUAGAGCCAGCUCCUUUGCCCCAGGAAGGGGAUUCGUCUCCCUCUGGCAUUUAGGAGUGCUCUCUAAGUGCGUUCUUGGCAGUGAGGGUGCCGCCUUCCCAGGGCAGGUGUGAUUCAUGUGGACUCUGUGGCGCCUGGGCAGGGAUCCCCAGGUAUACCAGACAAGGGGCAGGUGUGCCCUGGGAAACCGCCUAAGAGGUCCAUGGGCUAUGGAAGGAGCUGGGGUCCACAGUCCCUCUGCCUGAGCGUGUCUUUUUCCCUCACCCACAGCGCUCUAGGGAAAGUUGCCUAAACCUCUCUGAGCCUCAUUUCUUUCAUUUGUAAAGUGGGGCACUCAUAGUGGCCCUUCAUAGAAUUGUGUGUAAAGUGCUUAGCACAGGCCUGGCACAUGGAGGGUGCUCCAGCCUCCGGGAGCCAUCACUGUCAUGAAAAAAUAAGACCUCUCAAUCCUUGCUGGGGGCCUUUGACCCACCCCUCCUCUCUCUGGGCCUCACACUUCCAUCUGUGAAAUGUCCAGUUCUCAUAUUCAAAGCUUACUAGGACUCCAAGCCAGUCCAUGCUGUCCUGAUCCCUCAAUUCGCCCACAGGCUGCCUGGGGGAGGUAAGGACUGGCUGUGACCUACCUCCACGUGGAGUCAGCUCAUAGCGGGGUUUCCAGCAACCAUCACAGGGCGGCCAGAGCUGGGUCUCGAUGAUUGCCUGUCUGACCAUUCCUCUCAGAACCUCACUUUCGCCCCCAGCCGGCCGCCCUCCUGUGGGCAGACCCUUUCCUGAGUAGCAACUGGGCCUCAGCGGACACUGCCAGGGACCCCGUUUCCUUCCCAGGAGGCCUCUGUUCCCCAUAUCCCGAAUCACACAGGAGCCUAGUCCAGCGAAGAGAGCAGAGGACUCUCUUCUAGAACUGAAAAUUUCUCCCAGCCUGGCCCUAAAUCCCCUGUCCAGAGGGACCCGUGGUGAAACCUAUCUCCUGCCCAGUGCCCUAGAACUCAAAGGGGACAUUCAUGCCCCUCACUGAGCCUCAAUUUCCUCUUCUGUCAAUGGAGGUCAUUCUAACCACUCCAUUUCACGGGAGGGGGAUUAAGGAUUCCCUCUAGGAGGGGAGGGGCAUCAUUGUGAUUGAUGAUCGAUUGUUUGAAGAAACAGAAAGAAAAUGCUGCUGAGUAAACUAGGACUCAUCUGCAUCCUGAUUUCAGAUAAUGAUCUCUGAAUAUAUAAGCGAGAAAUGUUAAUGAAAAAUGGCAAUAUAUCUGGGUUGAGGGGUUGUCUCCUGUAGGCCGGGGGUCCAGCUCCAGAGAGUCCAGCUCUGGGGUCAUCUAUCCUGGGCAGCCUCUCUGGAAGGAUUCAGAAUGUGUGGGAGCACAAAUGUGCUUCUCAAAUUACAGAGAUCUUUCUUCCUUUUUGGAAAGUUCCAGACUUGGAGGGGAGGGAGAAGGAGCAAGGGAGAGCAGGGUGGUGAGGGUGUUAGGACCCAGAUGCUGCCUGUGCGGUCUGAGACUUUUGCCUGGUGUCCACGCUCCCCUGAGCCUUGGUCCCCGAGGGUAAAAUGGGAAGAACAGUAACAGCUGGGGGUGCUGAGGCUUUACCUUGUGCCAGGCGCCGCACAUGGGCAUUGCUCAUGGUAUUCAAUCCCCACGGCGUCAUAUGUGGUAGGUGUUAUGCCCAUGUAAGCAAAGAGGAACGUUGUCCGAGGUCAGCCAGGCUAGAGAGGGCCAGACCCGGGUUAAAAGUCUGCUCUGGUUCAAAAUGUGGGGCAUGAACGCAUCACCUGGCCAAGCAUGUCAGCACUCUCCUCCUAGUGGCUGAGUAAUGGGAAGAGCUAGCAUCUAGAUACAGAGGAAAGAGCUAUUGUGAUGGGGAGAGGGAGCUGGGUUUGGUAAAUCCUGCUAAGCAGCCCUGGGCUUGGAAAUCAGUAAACUCUUCAAAUCUGCAGGGAGUCAGGAAGGACUUGCCAGGGUCAUUCGGGAGGGUCCUGUGAUAGUCAAGGUGCACCCACCACCUGCUCUCCUUUGGCCUCAGAACCAGUCUGCGAGGAGGCAGGACUGGCAGUAGUCCCCAGUUUACAGAUGGGAACACUGAGGCCCAGAAAGGGGAAAGGGCGUGAUCAGGAUCUGGAAUGAGCUCCAGCAAGGCCAGGAGCAAGCACCUCGAGGCAAAACGCAGUUGGACAGGACCUUUGCCUUGCAGGAGACUGCAGCCCAGUCCUGGGCCUCAUACACUAGCACCCUGAUGCCACAUUCAGUGCCUCUCGCCCAGGGGAAGUGCUAAUCAGACGUGUUUCCCUCUGGGCCUCAGUGUUUGCAUCUGAAUGCGGGGGUGCACUUUCAAGGCCCCUCUACAUGCCAUGCGGGUUCCAUAGGACCCCAGGGUUUGGUUGUGACCCGAGGCCCCUCCUCCCCACCCACCUCCUCUCCACCUCCCGCGGGGCGCCAGCUCCCUUGCGUCCACAUGACCUCGGAUCCUUCCACGCCCAUCCCCACCCUGUUCUGCAGGUGGGUGGUCAGAGGGUGCUCUGCUUUGAGGAUGGGAGAGAGAAAGGGAGGCAAGGACGGAGAAAAGAGACUUCUUUUGCGGGAGCGCAGAGCAGAAAAACCGUCUCCAUCGGUUACCAGGGAAGGGGUUUCUGGUUUCAGAUCCCAUCACUUGGUGGGGCCUUCCUACCACCCUCCCUGCUACUCGCUCUUGUCAUCUGUAAAUCAGGGAAAUACUUCUGGAAGACAGUUAUCUGGUCUGUGACUUUGAUCAUUGGUCUAUGACUAAUAAUUGCCCUAAUUUUUUGAACACCUGCCGCAUGCUGGGAGUUUUCCGCCAAUUGUCGCUCACCCUCAGGUGCCUCUGAAGGGCAGAGAUUUUAUUCUUUCCAUUUCACAGAUGGGGAAACCCAAGCUCCGAAAGUAAAGAGCUUUUCCUCUGUGGGCCUCAGAAUCUGAGAAGUUCAAACAGGUUCUCAGGAGCCCUUCCAGCACCCCACUCCUCGAUCAGGGAGGGGCUGUCUGCACUCUGACCGCUGCUCUCAGCGCAGAGCUCUCCAUCCAAAGCAGCAGGUGCGUGCAGAGCUACCUGCCAGCAGAGCCAUCAAACACGGACUCUUCUACUGGGAGCCAUGGAGUGGUGAGAGAGACCUGGGCAGCUUGGAGCCAAGGGGGCUUCUGGGAAACAUGUGCCCUUCCCCCAGGGUGGGGUUCAGCUCUGGCGGGCAGGGAGAGAAAGGGCUCUUCUGAGUGGCUGUUGCUUUACACACAUUUUUGCUUCACAGUAUUCUUAGGGAGUAGCGACAGUUAUCACUCCCAUUUUACAGGAAAGAAAACUGAGGCUUAGAGAGCUCAAGUAACUUGUCCAAGUUGGCACCACUGGGAAACCACAGGGGUAGGAUUCCAACGAGGCAGCCUGGCCCCAGAGCCCAUGUUGCUGCCCACUACACUCUACUCUUGUGGACUAAAACCAGAUGCUCAGAGUUACAGUCAUGGAAUAGAAUUAGAAUCCUGGCAGAAGAACUGUGGGCAGGAUUCGGAAUUUUACAAUGUCAGACUCGAAAGGGCUCUGAGAUAUCAAAUCCAAAUCCCCAUUUCUCAAAUGACAGAACUGAGGCCUAGGAAGGAAGAGUCUCACUCAAGGUCACAGCCAGUGCCAGGGACAGAGUCUGCACCCCCUGCCUCUCCAGCUACCUCCCGCUGACUCCGCACCUUCCUCUCUCGCAGGCCCUCCUCUCCCCACUGCCCACCCAGCAGCUUCUGGGCCCAGCCAGGCCCAUUAGGGAUUUUCCACCUCCCCAAAAAGGUCCUGAUGACUGUCAGUCCUUGUGAAGCCUUAAUUAAUCUCAGAGGCCGAUGGCUCGGAGGAGACUGGGGGCUUUGGCCUUACGCAGAUGAAGAUUGCGGCUCUAUUUCAUGUGGUGGUGAAAGAACGCCUCAGACAUUCCUGCCAGCAAUAAAAGCCACAUGGCUUUCCAGCAUCGCCCUUGGAAAAGAAAAAAAAGUGCAGCCCUUUGCGGAAAUAAAUCAACUAUGUGCUGUACGCAUGGCAUGAGAUACAAAUGGGCAUACGGAGGUGGGCAACAGUCGGUCUUUUAUGCCGCCUCUGAUGUCCACUGACAGUGGCAGGGCCAGCGGUCAUGGUCCCAGCUGCAAUCCUGGGGAGAGGGAGUGACCCCCAGUGUGGUGGGGGAAGCCUCAGCUUCUCCACCUGAACUGGAUUUGAGCCACCCUAGAUAUCCCAGAGGCAGGGCCGGCUUUCUGGCCUGUGACCCAUGCAGUCGCACAGGGCCCUGGUCUCAGAAGGGUCCUGAGCUUGUUUUAAUGCCCUGCCACCACUGCCUUGAACUUCUGAAUACUUGCUCAACAAAGGUCCUGCGUUUUCAUUUUGUACUGGGCCCCCCAAAUUAUAUAGCCAGUCCUGACCACAAAUCCACCCCUCAUCACCAAUUGUCACGUCUCUCCUGGCCCCUGCCAUGUACCCAAUCCCGGGGAGUAGGGUUUCUUGAGUGCCUACUAGCCAGUUUGCUUAUAUCACCUGAGAUGAACUUCAGAAUGACUUUGUGAAUUGGGCAGAUGUGGAAAAUUGAGGCUCAGAGAGGCUUCCAUAUGGCAAGGAAGCCUAGACUUGAACUCAGGUCUCCCUGACUCCAAAGUGAGUGCUCUUAGCAGCUCUACAUUCUGCAUUAUUUCAUCUUCACCAUGCCCAGGGGGAUGGGGAUACACACAGUUAGGCUGCUCUAUUCCCAGAUAACAGAAGGCAUAACUGAGGCCAGAGAAGUGAAGGUUCUCAAGUCAGUGUCAAACCGAGGGCCUGGGCAACAGUGGACCUGGGCCUGGAUCCAUAGGGCUGGGGAUGGAGUCUCAGUUUUAUAGUUGUUUGUGCCACUUGUAAAUUUAUUAGCUCUUUCCAUGCAGGUCACUGCCUUGAGUCUGGUCUGGAAUGUGGCUGGAGCCCUACCCUGUCCCCCUCCCCCACAGCUCUCCAUUCUAAACAUCUGGAAGUCCUUCCUUGUGUCUUCUUCCACUCUUUCACGCUGCAGUUUUCCUCUGCCACCCUCACUGGUUGGGAAGCAGUUGGAUCUGGCACCUUGAUAAACUCAAAAGAGUCCAAAUUCUUGAUGAAAGUUGGGGCUGAACAGAGCCCAUAGAUUGCCAUGUCCUAUAACCAGGCCUGGGCCUAAGGCUCAUAGAGCCAACUGCUAGAUCCAGGGCAGCCAUUUCCUUGUUCCUUGCUGGGUAACCUUGAGCAAGUCCCUUCCCUCUCUGGCCCUCAGACUCCCCUUCAGGGAGAUAAAUGCAUUGGACCACACCUGAGCCCCAGGAGGCCUCUCUGUCUUCAACAUUCUAGAAUUCCAUAUUAAUCUACAACAGGUCUGUUCAUUUCCGCAUCUAAUAGCUGGGGAAACCGAGGCCCAGGAAGGAUCAGAGAUUUGCCCACCGUCACAGAAGGUGCUUAUUGACAAGUGGACUUGACUCUGAGGCUCCUGUCAGCUGGCCCGGUUGCCUCUGCACAAACUUUCGGAGGAUCUGGCCUCAGCAUCAGCUCAGCUUGCCCUUGUCCCGCCGCCUUUAGCCCAGGUGGUCUGUCAGGCACCCUCAGUGUCCAGGCCUGGAAAUCACAGCUAAGAGUCCUUGGCAGGCAAUAAAGUUCCUCUUCUAUGGCUUGAAUGUCUCCCAAAAGUCAUACAUUAAAACUUCACCCCCAUUGUGAUGGUAUUAAGAGGCAGUGGGGGGCCUUUCGGGAAGUGAUUAAGUGGUGAAGGCUCUGCCCUCAUGAAUGGAUUAGGCCCUCUUUGCCCUUCUGACUUCAGGACACAAUGUUCUGUGUCCUCCGGAGGACACAGCCAGAAGACACUGCCUUGGAAACAGGGAGUCCAGGACCUCACCAGAUGCGGAACCUGCCAGAGCCUUGAUCUUGGACUUCCCAGUCUCCAGAACCAUGUGUACUCUGCAAGGUUGGUGUAACCCCUACAGAUGAGGAAACCAGAGACAGAGAAGUGAAGUAACUCAUGCAGGUGACGGCAGAGGGCAGAGUCAGGACUUGAACCUGGAGAGCCUGGCUCUAAAGCCCAAGCUGGAAUCUCGAUACUCUACACCUCGAUAAGUUUUUGGGAAAUGACUGACUAAACAGAUGAACGCGUUUGCCCCCCCGCCGCCCCAGAGCCCCCUUAAAGCCUACAUGUGGCAGUUUGGGCCCAUUUCCUUGGCUUCCCUCCCUGGAGGGGCACCCACUGCCAGUGUCCCUGGUGAGUGUUUGCCUGUGGGGGUACAAGUGAGGGUUCAGCAAAGGUGACCUGGUGUGAGGGGGGGGUGCCCCAGGGGGUGCAGAGGAGGGCCUCAUGAGGCAGAUUCAGAAUGAAGGUUCUGGCCCCCAGUGGAACCGUGCAUGGGCAAGGGGUCCUCAGGGCCAUUGGCCCAUAAUUGUCAGACGGGGAAACUGAGGCCCAGAGAGAGGAAGGGACUUGUCCUUAGUUACACAGAGUGUCUGGAUCACAGCUCUUAGGUCUCAGCUUCCCCAUUUGUCACACAGGGAGAAUAAAUCCCCCUUGUCCUGCCUGGGGGUAGACCCCAGGGGGCCCCUGUGCCCUCUCACACCUUCCAUUCCAGCUUCUAGAAUUCCACCAUCCAUGCACCAGCCCUGAGGGUAGGCGUUGCCCUCUUCUCACCUCCUGCUCACGCCUCUACUGCAGGAUGGGAACCAAAUGCCUCUCCACCCUUUUCCCACACCCCUUCUCUCCACAGUGAACUGAGGGGAGUUUCUGAUCCCUUAGCUCAAAGUCAGAGAAACUGAGAGGGGAGGGCUGGGUGGGAGCCGUGGGAAUGUCAUGCACAAGCAGUCGGACUCUCCAGGGGUCUGGAUCUCUCCCUUGCUGCCUUGAAGGCCCCUGCACAGGCUGUGGCACUGGCUGAGUACAGGUGCCUGAAGGCAGAGGCAUGGAUGGGAUGCUUCAUUCUCAGCCUGUUUUUGCCAGUGAAGACAAAAGGGAAGUCAUCUUCCGUUGGUCUAUGGGGACCCUGAGGUAGUAGGAGCUCGGUGAUAAUUCUAGGGACCACCCUGGGUUGUCAGGUGGGGGAGACAGAGAAGCCCACAUAGGAGGCACCAAAUGCAACUCACUCGUGCCCUUUUACUCAUGAGAGAACACGGAUCCAGAGAUGUCAAGUGACUCAGACACAGUCUCACAGCACACAGGCGGCAGAGGCAGGUAGGGGACUGGGCUUCCCUGGCAGCAGUCCCCAAGCCUGCCUGAGAGGCACAUCAGAAUCGCUUUAGGGGAUUUGCAAAACCACACCUGCCCAGGCCCAAACCCUAGAGAUUCUGAUUCCGCAGUCUGAGGUAGGAAUGGAGAAUCCUCCACAGCCUGAGGUAGGAACUGGGAAUCCAGUGUUUAAAACUCUCUAGGGGCGGUGAUUUCAGAAAACCUGCUGGCUCCAUCACACUUUGCUCAGGGACUGAGAUGGGAUGGCAUUUGGAAGACACAGGUAGGAGGAAGAGGAGGCAGUGGGGGGCACAGGGAGACCCUUCCCCUUCUGGUAAAAGCCUGUGGACGAGAGAACAGCCCGAGUAAGAUUCUGAGAACCCGAGACCCGGAUGGACCUGGAGUUUUUGUCUUGCGUAUAAUUUAGGGGGUCUGUGACACUGGGCUGGAGAUAACCGUGUCUUUCCUUUCCCUGGCCUCUAGCUGAAAUUUAGCAUCAUAUUCCAUGGCGAUUUUCCACCAGUGGAAAUCACAGGUGUUCUCUGGUAUCACAGCGGGGUCAGGGAUGACCUGAAAUAUUGUUCAUGCUCAUCACAACUGCAUGGCCCACCGCGGGGUCUUGUCACUCAGUGAGUUCUUGAAGAGGCACAGACAAAUGGAGUUCAACAAAUGGAAAACAACUGCCUUUAAUUAGCUCCGAGGACUACAAAGGGAACAACGUUAUAAUAGCAGCAACUCCAAGGAAGCAGCCACAGCUCUCAGCUCUCAGACCUGGGGCUGCCGCUCAUCAUCAGCUACAGCUAGGUUUGAUGGGAGUGCCCCCAUUUCAGGGGACAGCAGGCCCCCUUCACUCCCCGACUCAGUCCCCAUCUGCAGCAGCACAGCCUUCCUUGGCCUCACCAGGGAAGAAGAACAGGCCCCGCUCUCAGACAAGCCUUCCCAGAAGCCUGAGGACUCAAACACCCAAAUGUGUCUGGGUCCCUGCCCCGAGCCGGCCACCCAGGCAGCAGCCCUGAAUCACUCGGUCAGCCAGCGGCAGGGCAGGCCAAUGGGCUGGAGGGUAGGCAGGCAGGCAGACCCACCUCUGCAUCUCUGCUGACUGCCUCGGCUGAGGAAAGGCAGCACCAGCCCCCAACCCUGAAGUUCUAGAUCUCAUGCAGCCUCUCUGUUCUGGAACCAUCCAGAGGCACUGCCCUUAUACAUGGUCCACCCCCAGGCUCAGACAAUGAGAAUUCCACAAGCAGAGGGGACUCUAUUUGGGGCACAGAGAGGUUAAGUAACUCCCCUCCUAAGGUCUCUCAGCAAGGAAGCCACUGAGCCGUGGGACUUGAGCUCAGGGACUCUUGAUCCCCAGUCUCAGGUGUCACAGCCCCAUCUGGGCUCCUGCUAGGGAGGAGGAAGGCAGCAGGGGGUGUCUGAGGCCAGGGUGCAUCAGCCCUAAAUGCCAGACAGAGGCAGGAGAAGUCUCCCCAUGAGUCCCAGCCCCAUUAGAGGCUCCAGGUCGGGGAUCCCAGACCCCCUAUCCUUGCUGGGAGACACAACCCAGAACUCUGCAUCCCUGCAGCCACCAAAAAAGGCAAAAGCUGCCCAGAAACACUUUCUCCUCUUCCGUGGCCAAAUCCACGAACUUUCUCGAGGUCUGUCCCCCUGCCCCGUGCAGGUCCAGCUUCAGUGCAGCCCAGCUCUGUGCAGUUUUCCACAAAAGCCUGUGGCUUCCUUCUCCUCCCUCUGCUUCUGAUACCCCAGGAGUUACACACAAAAUGUUGGCGGUGGUCUCCAGGAAGACCCCUGCAUCCCACAGCUCUCCCCAGAAGUUGCCAGCAGUGACCUCCUGAGCCCAGGUGGGGAGUCCCAGGCAGGACAGGGGCUGGGGCUGCAGGCCCUGGGGCCCUGUUAGUGAAGCAGCAAGCCGAGGGUCCCUGAGAGUUUCCCUUGGCCCCUCUGAGGGCUGCCCUUUGAGGUCUUGAGGUCUUGGAGUAUCCAUCGCCCCCACGGCUUACUGUCCCCACCAGCGGAGGAUGAAAGUGCCACAGCGAUGUUCCACGCCAAGAGACCACAGAGACCACCAACCCCUCUUCCCACCUCAGGCUUUCAGAGGCCAGCGGAUUUAGGCGGACAGGCUGUGCGCUUGAGGGCAGCCAGGGCGGUCAGUGGAGGGACGUGGUCCGGGGCCUGGCCACAGCUCCCCACCCAGGGCCCUGGGCUAUUGUUACUCACCGCGGAUGAAGGUCGGCGAGUAGGUCGGGAAGGAGUCGAAGAUGCUGUUCGAUGCCAUGCCCCGCUCUGAAGAAGGCGAGAAUUUUCAGCCCUUCAGGGGGUUGGGUUGGGAUUCACUUGGUUGGCUGUUGUUUUAUUUUUUUUUCCUCUAGCUACUUUUGAAAAUAAAAGGGGGGGGUGUUGCUUUUUGUUGUUU